This 64-nucleotide transfer RNA is filed under the name Hemiarthrum setulosum. RNAcentral's name for it is "tRNA-Thr". It matches the Rfam family "tRNA". From Rfam's summary of the family: Transfer RNA (tRNA) molecules are approximately 80 nucleotides in length. Lineage: Eukaryota; Metazoa; Mollusca; Polyplacophora; Chitonida; Hemiarthridae. The record is from RNAcentral.
GCUAAAAAAGCUUUGUAUAGCGUCAGUCUUGUAAAUUGAAGAUAAGAGUUAAUUCUUUUUAGUU